UAGACCCGAUAGAGUUUCUUUAAGUGAUUAAUAUACUCGUGCAUCGGAGAGCAAGUAAAUGUCGGAUUUGCGCUUGUUCUCUCUCCGGUCCGGAUUUCAGAGCGAGGGAAUAGAUAGUGCUCUUGUGUCUACGUAAAUGCUUGUGUAAUAUACAGUGGUCGGAAUAGGUAGAGCUAUUUGGGGUGAAUGACCGCAAACAUUGAUAUUAACAUGGACAUGCCUCUGAAAUCCCGGGAUUUUGAAAUUGUCGAUUGAUUUAAGUGAGUUAAUAUGGGUAAGUGGGCAGUUAUGAGCAGGUAGUAGGUGAGCACCCAAACAGUAUAUACUUACUUAUAAACACACACAGGGAGCCUGGAACGUUGUUAGAGGUAGCUUCGUGAAAUAUGAAUUAAUUAACCCUUAAAUUGGCAGUGUACUCCACAAAAGACAUUAACUUUUUUUAAAUCGAAUGUAGUACCAAUCUUUAAAAAAAUUCAAUUUUUUGUUCUUUUUGGCUUGUCAUUAUUGUAUAUUUUGGUAGAAAAAAUAUUUGAAUGUGGUUCCAUUGAAAAAUAGCUGUCAAAUUCAAAAUGUCUUCGAAGCGGUCUGGUGUAUCCGGGUCACGGCAGUGCUUGAACCUGAAACGACCUGAUUUAGCAGAUAUGCUUAUAUCUUUGCACCCCACCCCUUUCAAGACGUCGGCUCUUGAAAGGGGUCCGGUACAUGGUGGAAUUUGGGUAGGUGAAGGAGAAAUAAUUCAGAAACCUACAGCUGAACGGCCGGUGGACAGUGUCAGAAAAUGCUGUCGGACAUUUUCCAGAAAUAGCAGAUAAGCAAUCACGCUGUAGGUUUUGCAAAGAUAGAAGAACUAAAGUUUUUUGCGUGAAAUGCAAUGUGCUCUUGUGUUUUAUGGUAGGAGAAAGUAACAAAAGAAAUUGCUUCCGCUAAUCUCACACGCAAUAAAUGCAUAUUAUGUAGUUUGAUAAGAAUUAUGAUUAAUAAAGUGAAGAUUUUACUAAAA
This is a long non-coding RNA of Helicoverpa armigera (cotton bollworm), 1000 nucleotides long. RefSeq lists it as uncharacterized. Lineage: Eukaryota; Metazoa; Arthropoda; Insecta; Lepidoptera; Noctuidae. The transcript has 2 exons. The record is from RefSeq and is a predicted model, not a curated record.